CCAGACUCCUACGGGAGGCAGCAGUGAGGAAUAUUGGUCAAUGGACGAGAGUCUGAACCAGCCAAGUAGCGUGCAGGAUGACUGCCCUAUGGGUUGUAAACUGCUUUUAUGCGGGGAUAAAGUGGGGAACGUGUUCUCUAUUGCAGGUACCGCAUGAAUAAGGACCGGCUAAUUCCGUGCCAGCAGCCGCGGUAAUACGGAAGGUUCAGGCGUUAUCCGGAUUUAUUGGGUUUAAAGGGAGCGUAGGCCGUUUUUUAAGCGUGUUGUGAAAUGUACCGGCUCAACCGGUGAUGUGCAGCGCGAACUGGAAGACUUGAGUGCGUAGUAAGCAGGCGGAAUUCGUGGUGUAGCGGUGAAAUGCUUAGAUAUCACGAAGAACUCCGAUAGCGCAGGCAGCUUGCUGUAUCGCAACUGACGCUGAUGCUCGAAAGCGUGGGUAUCAAACAGGAUUAGAUACCCUGGUAGUCCACGCGGUAAACGAUGGAUGCUCGUUGUCAGGCCUUUAGGUUUGGUGACCAAGCGAAAGCGUUAAGCAUCCCACCUGGGGAGUACGCCGGCAACGGUGAAACUCAAAGGAAUUGACGGGGGCCCGCACAAG
Molecule: ribosomal RNA, 598 nt
Filed under: uncultured bacterium
Lineage: Bacteria
Description: bacterial SSU rRNA
Rfam family: Bacterial small subunit ribosomal RNA
Source: RNAcentral